Molecule: long non-coding RNA, 1802 nt
Filed under: Salvia miltiorrhiza (redroot sage)
Lineage: Eukaryota; Viridiplantae; Streptophyta; Magnoliopsida; Lamiales; Lamiaceae
Description: long non-coding RNA (SMIL_LNC000661)
Source: RNAcentral
CCUUAUUUAAUUAAGGUAUGGAUCCAAUUCUUUCAUCUGGGCCGGACUAUCAUAUUUAUGGAUUUUUCAAAGCCCAAUUGAGUUUUUAUAUUCUUGGAGCUCAAGUUUUUCAAACAGAUAUUUUCUUACUACCACAUUAUUAUUUAUUGAAUGGAAUUCAGAAUCUCAAAUGUCCACGUAGCUUAGUUUCCUCCUACUUAACACCCCCAAUCUUUCAGCUUCUUCAACCACAAAUUAGCUGAUUUCAUUCUCCUUCAAAACAACUCAGUCCAUCGCAUUCCCCAGCAAACUUCUAUCUCUCAUAUCUCAAUUUCAAGAACUCUCACAAUCGCUCCAGAAUACCUGCAAGUAUUUAUAAUCUACCAAAUCAACAGUUCUUCCACAACCCAUUCUCGGCCAUAAAUUCAAGAAACCGAAAUUAUUUUCACAGAGGUAAACCAACUCACAUAUUCAUGCCAUAAUCAGUAAUCUAUUUCAUAAAGAACCAUCACAUUAACAAGGAAUCUUGAAACAGAAAGCAAGAGAAGUAUGGCAUAUAAAUUGACUUUGCAUAUAAUGUAUGCCUGCAUAUACACGUGCAUUUUUCUGCAAAUCAGUUAGUUAAAGCAUUUAGAAUAAAUGAAUCUAUUUGUCUUGUGUAUGUUGGUGUGUGAGGUUGUUGCUGGGGUUGUGAGUCGAGGGAGGACCGGCGGCGGCAGUGGCGGCCUGAGGCUUCCGCUGUUGCGGCCGAGAGAGAGAAAGAGGGGAGUCCGCUACAGUUCGGAAAGGGAAGACGGAGGCUGCGGUGUCGGUUGGAGUAGCAGAGGAGGGAGACGGUGGAUGGGUAGGCAGGAGCUUAGGGUUUUCGAUAAUUUUUGGGGAUUUUUGUAUCUUAUAAAGAGAAAAGAGAUGAGUGAGAAGAGGGAGACACUGGAGGGUGGUGGCCGGUGAUGAGGAGGGAGGCGGCGGCGACUUUGGGGAUUUAGGAUUUCUGUAUUUGGGGUUUUUGCAGGAGAAUUGGAUAGAGAGGGAGAAAGAUAGAGAGAGAUGAAGGUGGCGGUGGUAAACCGGCGACGCGCCGCCGGAUUUGUGGGAGGCGGAGGCAGCGGCGGCGUGAGGUGAGCAAAGGAGGGAGACACCGAAUGGGAGAGUGAGAGAGUGAGGUCUUGUGUCUGUGUGUGCGUUGAGAAAAAGGAGAAGAGAGGAGAGAUUGAUUAGUUGAGUUGGGCUCCAACAUUGGGCCUCUAAUUUAAUUAAGUGGGCUGCACUUUUAUAACUUGGGCUAUGAAUUAUAUUUUGGGCUGUAAUUUUGUAUGAAGAGAGCCCCUUAUUAAAUUACUAAUUGGACCAUGAAUUUACUUAUUUGUGAAUUGAGUUUUUUAAAGUAAAAGCUGAGCAAGGGUAUUAUUGAAACCCUUAGCCAAGAAAAAAUGAUUUUCAAAUUUUAUGUUGAAUUUAUGAAAAUCCGGGUGUUGCGAAUCUAGUUAGAAAAUGAUGACAAGUCAUAAAGGUUAAGCUUGAUUUUAGGACUAUGAGUUUAAGUUGAAAACUUAUCUUGUAGGUCCUACAGAAGAGGAUAUUUAGGCUCUUGAUCAGCUGAGUUAUAUUGUUUGGAUUUUCUCCUAAUCAGGUGAGGCUUUAUUUACGAAAUGUAUGUUUGAGCUAAUAAGCUCGGUUUUAUGUAAAGUUAAAGUUGAUGGUUCAUGCUUAAAAUAUUUUUGCUCUCUAUUGGUUAUUGCUUCUACCAGAACAUUGUUAGCUCUGCUAACCAGAAUUGUGUACGCACACCAGAACCUGUUGUCUCGAGUAGGGGUGAGCAUUCG